UUGAACGCUGGCGGCAGGCCUAACACCUGCAAGUCGAGCGGAUGAAGGGAGCUUGCUCCUGGAUUCAGCGGCGGACGGGUGAGUAAUGCCUAGGAAUCUGCCUGGUAUUGGGGGAUAACGUCCGGAAACGGGCGCUAAUACCGCAUACGUCCUGAGGGAGAAAGUGGGGGAUCUUCGGACCUCACGCUAUCAGAUGAGCCUAGGUCGGAUUAGCUAGUUGGUGGGGUAAAGGCCUACCAAGGCGACGAUCCGUAACUGGUCUGAGAGGAUGAUCAGUCACACUGGAACUGAGACACGGUCCAGACUCCUACGGGAGGCAGCAGUGGGGAAUAUUGGACAAUGGGCGAAAGCCUGAUCCAGCCAUGCCGCGUGUGUGAAGAAGGUCUUCGGAUUGUAAAGCACUUUAAGUUGGGAGGAAGGGCAGUAAGUUAAUACCUUGCUGUUUUGACGUUACCAACAGAAUAAGCACCGGCUAACUUCGUG
This 483-nucleotide ribosomal RNA is filed under the name uncultured bacterium. Its description in RNAcentral is "partial 16S ribosomal RNA". It matches the Rfam family "Bacterial small subunit ribosomal RNA", at positions 30 to 507 of the family's 1533-position model. The record is from RNAcentral.